CUCCUGGAAACGGGUGGUAAUGCCGGAUGCUCCGCCCCCUCGCAUGGGGGGUCGGGAAGGCUUUUGCGGAAUGGGAUGGGGUCGCGUCCUAUCAGCUUGUUGGCAGGGCGACGGCCCACCAAGGCUUCGACGGGUAGCCGGCCUGAGAGGGCGACCGGCCACAUUGGGACUGAGAUACGGCCCAGACUCCUACGGGAGGCAGCAGUGGGGAAUAUUGCACAAUGGGGGGAACCCUGAUGCAGCGACGCCGCGUGCGGGAUGGAGGCCUUCGGGUCGUGAACCGCUUUUGAUUGGGAGCAAGCGUGAGUGAGUGUACCUUUCGAAUAAGCACCGGCUAACUACGUGCCAGCAGCCGCGGUAAUACGUAGGGUGCAAGCGUUGUCCGGAAUCAUUGGGCGUAAAGGGCUCGUAGGCGGUUCGUCGCGUCCGGUGUGAAAGCCCAUCGCUUAACGGUGGGUCUGCGCCGGGUACGGGCGGGCUUGAGUGCGGCAGGGGAGGCUGGAAUUCCCGGUGUAACGGUGGAAUGUGUAGAUAUCGGGAAGAACACC
Molecule: ribosomal RNA, 548 nt
Filed under: uncultured Bifidobacterium sp.
Lineage: Bacteria; Bacillati; Actinomycetota; Actinomycetes; Bifidobacteriales; Bifidobacteriaceae
Description: bacterial SSU rRNA
Rfam family: Bacterial small subunit ribosomal RNA
Source: RNAcentral